UACGGAGGAUUCGAGCGUUAUCCGGAUUUAUUGGGUUUAAAGGGUGCGUAGGCUGUUUUGUAAGUCAGUGGUGAAAUGUAGAGGCUUAACCUCUGCAGUGCCAUUGAAACUAUAGGACUUGAGUGAAGAUGAAGUUGGCGGAAUGUGUCAAGUAGCGGUGAAAUGCAUAGAUAUGACACAGAACACCGAUAGCGAAGGCAGCUGACUAAGGUUCGACUGACGCUGAUGCACGAAGGCGUGGGGAUCAAACAGGAUUAGAUACCCUGGUAGUCCACGCAGUAAACGAUGAUUACUGGUUUUUGGCGAUAUACCGUCAGAGGCGAAGAGAAAUCGAUAAGUAAUCCACCUGGGGAGUACGACCGCAAGGUUGAA
RNAcentral lists this ribosomal RNA (372 nucleotides) under uncultured bacterium. RNAcentral's name for it is "bacterial SSU rRNA". It matches the Rfam family "Bacterial small subunit ribosomal RNA", at positions 524 to 898 of the family's 1533-position model. The record is from RNAcentral.